GUUAAGAAACGGGUCAUUUAGUAGCCUGUUGUCUGAGUAACGUGUUGGUUAUAUUUUGUCCACAGCCUUAUCUUUGCCAUACAGACUUCCAGUUUGUAGGAAACAGGUUUGCAGGUCUGUCUACGCGUAUGUAAAUAUUUCUGGCUGUUUUAAAAACUCAGCACCAGCCAAAAUUAAGAAAAAGGUCUAAAUGCUAAACAUAAACUGCUACUAACUUAACCACUUUACAUAAAUUCCUGCUGGAAGAAUUCUUCUCUCUGUCUCCUUGAGGAUGCCAUUUGUUCUCACAAUCUGUGGUGAGACCACAGCGAGCUGCCUGACCACAGCAACUGCUGCAGAGCUCCGCUUGCUGCACACUAAGAGCACUGGAGGGCCUGACCUCCUCUUUCCUGCCCGAGACUCUUCACUAUUCAAGAUCAGUGGUGUUAUGUGCAGGGACAAGGGAUGUCCCCAUCUCCCAGUCAUUUUGAGUUUGUUCCAGAAGCUGUGCACAGAAAACAGUGAAGCCUGCUGACUGCAUCCCUUACUGCUAACUGUCCCAUUGGUUUUGACUCUCGGGGGACACGGGCUUCUUACAGCCCUCAAGAAGCUGCCUUUGGAAAUGUGUAUUUUUAGCGCUGGAGGCCCCUACCUCGAUCUCUGGCAUCGACCAAGAGGACAGCUGUCACCAGGGACUGCAGACAGGUCGGUGUUCAAUACAUCGCCAAGUGGGAGGGCAGGAGCGAUCAGAACUGG
RNAcentral lists this long non-coding RNA (735 nucleotides) under Apteryx owenii (little spotted kiwi). RNAcentral's name for it is "lncRNA (ENSAOWG00000005961.1)". Lineage: Eukaryota; Metazoa; Chordata; Aves; Apterygiformes; Apterygidae. The record is from RNAcentral.